This 786-nucleotide ribosomal RNA is filed under the name uncultured Bacillota bacterium. RNAcentral's name for it is "bacterial SSU rRNA". It matches the Rfam family "Bacterial small subunit ribosomal RNA", at positions 50 to 849 of the family's 1533-position model. The record is from RNAcentral. Lineage: Bacteria; Bacillati; Bacillota.
AACACAUGCAAGUCGAACGAGAGAUGAGGAGCUUGCUCUUCAAAUCGAGUGGCGAACGGGUGAGUAACGCGUGAGGAACCUGCCUCAAAGAGGGGGACAACAGUUGGAAACGACUGCUAAUACCGCAUAAGCCCACAGCUCGGCAUCGAGCAGAGGGAAAAGGAGCAAUCCGCUUUGAGAUGGCCUCGCGUCCGAUUAGCUAGUUGGUGAGGUAACGGCCCACCAAGGCGACGAUCGGUAGCCGGACUGAGAGGUUGAACGGCCACAUUGGGACUGAGACACGGCCCAGACUCCUACGGGAGGCAGCAGUGGGGAAUAUUGCACAAUGGGGGAAACCCUGAUGCAGCGACGCCGCGUGGAGGAAGAAGGUCUUCGGAUUGUAAACUCCUGUUGUUGAGGAAGAUAAUGACGGUACUCAACAAGGAAGUGACGGCUAACUACGUGCCAGCAGCCGCGGUAAAACGUAGGUCACAAGCGUUGUCCGGAGUUACUGGGUGUAAAGGGAGCGCAGGCGGGAGAACAAGUUGGAAGUGAAAUCCAUGGGCUCAACCCAUGAACUGCUUUCAAAACUGUUUUUCUUGAGUAGUGCAGAGGUAGGCGGAAUUCCCGGUGUAGCGGUGGAAUGCGUAGAUAUCGGGAGGAACACCAGUGGCGAAGGCGGCCUACUGGGCACCAACUGACGCUGAGGCUCGAAAGUGUGGGUGGCAAACAGGAUUAGAUACCCUGGUAGUCCACACCGUAAACGAUGAUUACUAGGUGUUGGAGGAUUGACCCCUUCAGUGCCGC